AUCAACUUUCGAUGGUAGGAUAGAGGCCUACCAUGGUGGUAACGGGUAACGGGGUGUUAGGGCACGACACCGGAGAGGGAGCCUGAGAAACGGCUACCACAUCCAAGGAUGGCAGCAGGCGCGCAAAUUACCCAAUCCCGACACGGGGAGGUAGUGACAAUAAAUAACAAUACGGGGUUCUAAAGGAUUUCGUAAUUGGAAUGAGUACAAUUUAAAUCUCUUAACGAUCAACAAUUGGAGGGCAAGUCUGGUGCCAGCAGCCGCGGUAAUUCCAGCUCCAAUAGCGUAUAUUAAAGUUGUUGCAGUUAAAAAGCUCGUAGUUGAAUUUCGGGGUUAGUAGGUUGGUCAUGCCUCUGGUAUGUACUGAUCUCACUGAUUCCUCCCUCUUGACGAACUGUAAUGUCAUUAAUUUGGUGUUGCAGGAAAUCAGGACUGUUACUUUGAAAAAAUUAGAGUGUUUAAAGCAGGCUUAGGCUUGAAUACAUUAGCAUGGAAUAAUGAAAUAGGACGUUUGAACCUAUUUUGUUGGUUUCUAGGAUCGACGUAAUGAUUAAUAGGGAUAGUUGGGGGCAUUAGUAUUCAAUUGUCAGAGGUGAAAUUCUUGGAUUUAUUGAAGACUAACUACUGCGAAAGCAUUUGCCAAGGAUGUUUUCAUUAAUCAAGAACGAAAGUUAGGGGAUCGAAGACGAUCAGAUACCGUCGUAGUCUUAACCAUAAACUAUGCCGACUAGGGAUCGGAUGAUGUUAAUUUUUUAAUGACUCAUUCGGCGCCUUACGGGAAACCAAAGUGUUUGGGUUC
RNAcentral lists this ribosomal RNA (799 nucleotides) under uncultured Glomeromycotina. Its description in RNAcentral is "SSU rRNA". It matches the Rfam family "Eukaryotic small subunit ribosomal RNA", at positions 314 to 1114 of the family's 1831-position model. The record is from RNAcentral. Lineage: Eukaryota; Fungi; Glomeromycota.